UUUUGUAAGGAUCCAAUCAGAUUGCAUUAGUCGAUGACGUUUGUGGCACAGUUUAAACUGACCAAUGGGCACGAGUAGAAUAUUUGUUUAAAAUACUUAAUCUAUAAUAAAUAGCUGAAACGCCUUCAGUAAAGUCUUUACAUUUGUUUGAAGCUUGCUUUAUUUUAUUAUUUUUUUAAAAGAAAAAGGAAUCAAUAUAAAAGAUGCUUAAAAUAUUUGUAUUAUUAUUGGCAAUCGCCUACGUAAAUGCGCAUCUUUCAAUAGCUAUGCCUUGUGAAAAUACAGACUUAUUUUCAAAAGAUGCAGAAAUAUCAGUGACUAAAUGUACUGGAGAAACUAAACAGUGCAAGUUAUGCAAAUCAGAAAUUUAUACAG
Molecule: long non-coding RNA, 375 nt
Organism: Centruroides sculpturatus (bark scorpion)
Lineage: Eukaryota; Metazoa; Arthropoda; Arachnida; Scorpiones; Buthidae
Exons: 2
Source: RefSeq, a predicted model, not a curated record